This 205-nucleotide unclassified non-coding RNA is filed under the name uncultured Sebacinaceae. RNAcentral's name for it is "sequence contains ITS2". Lineage: Eukaryota; Fungi; Basidiomycota; Agaricomycetes; Sebacinales; Sebacinaceae. The record is from RNAcentral.
UACUCUCACACUCUCUGAUCCUUUGGAUUCAGGGAGCGGUGGACUUUGGGUGCUUGCUGCUUUCGUGGUGGCUCACCUCAAAUGCGUUAGUGCACCUCUUGGUUGGACAUAGUACGGCGUGAUAAGUAUCUUCGCCGGCACCUCGCAAGAGGGUGGCCGAUCGGGAGCUCUGUGCUUUCAAACCGUCUUCGGACAAUUUCUGACA